Molecule: ribosomal RNA, 1076 nt
Filed under: Arthrobacter sp.
Lineage: Bacteria; Bacillati; Actinomycetota; Actinomycetes; Micrococcales; Micrococcaceae
Description: bacterial SSU rRNA
Rfam family: Bacterial small subunit ribosomal RNA
Source: RNAcentral
GCAGUCGAACGAUGAUCCGGUGCUUGCACCGGGGAUUAGUGGCGAACGGGUGAGUAACACGUGAGUAACCUGCCCUUAACUCUGGGAUAAGCCUGGGAAACUGGGUCUAAUACCGGAUAUGACUGAUCAUCGCAUGGUGGUUGGUGGAAAGCUUUUUUGUGGUUUUGGAUGGACUCGCGGCCUAUCAGCUUGUUGGUGAGGUAAUGGCUUACCAAGGCGACGACGGGUAGCCGGCCUGAGAGGGUGACCGGCCACACUGGGACUGAGACACGGCCCAGACUCCUACGGGAGGCAGCAGUGGGGAAUAUUGCACAAUGGGCGCAAGCCUGAUGCAGCGACGCCGCGUGAGGGAUGACGGCCUUCGGGUUGUAAACCUCUUUCAGUAGGGAAGAAGCGAAAGUGACGGUACCUGCAGAAGAAGCGCCGGCUAACUACGUGCCAGCAGCCGCGGUAAUACGUAGGGCGCAAGCGUUAUCCGGAAUUAUUGGGCGUAAAGAGCUCGUAGGCGGUUUGUCGCGUCUGCCGUGAAAGUCCGGGGCUCAACUCCGGAUCUGCGGUGGGUACGGGCAGACUAGAGUGAUGUAGGGGAGACUGGAAUUCCUGGUGUAGCGGUGAAAUGCGCAGAUAUCAGGAGGAACACCGAUGGCGAAGGCAGGUCUCUGGGCAUUAACUGACGCUGAGGAGCGAAAGCAUGGGGAGCGAACAGGAUUAGAUACCCUGGUAGUCCAUGCCGUAAACGUUGGGCACUAGGUGUGGGGGACAUUCCACGUUUUCCGCGCCGUAGCUAACGCAUUAAGUGCCCCGCCUGGGGAGUACGGCCGCAAGGCUAAAACUCAAAGGAAUUGACGGGGGCCCGCACAAGCGGCGGAGCAUGCGGAUUAAUUCGAUGCAACGCGAAGAACCUUACCAAGGCUUGACAUGAACCGGAAAGACCUGGAAACAGGUGCCCCGCUUGCGGUCGGUUUACAGGUGGGGGCAUGGGUUGUCGUCAGCUCGUGUCGUGAGAUGUUUGGGUUAAGUCCCGCAACGAGCGCAACCCUCGUUCUAUGUUGCCAGCACGUGGAUGGUGGGGGACU